Molecule: non-coding RNA, 177 nt
Organism: Ceratotherium simum simum (southern white rhinoceros)
Lineage: Eukaryota; Metazoa; Chordata; Mammalia; Perissodactyla; Rhinocerotidae
Source: RefSeq, a predicted model, not a curated record
GCAUUCAGAGAAGCCACUGUGAUUUCGGUGUGCGUUAAAGUUUGGGGGGCGCUGUGUGCACAGCCGCCCCACAGGGCAUUGAGGGGCCGGCACAGAGCCAGAGCUGGGGGGCUCCCAGGCUGCCUGGCCUCACCAGCGCGUCCCACACACAGGCACACUCCAGGGGGUACCUCCCUC